RNAcentral lists this ribosomal RNA (719 nucleotides) under uncultured bacterium. RNAcentral describes it as "bacterial SSU rRNA". It matches the Rfam family "Bacterial small subunit ribosomal RNA", at positions 65 to 774 of the family's 1533-position model. The record is from RNAcentral.
AGCGGGGAGCAAGCUUGCUUGCUCUGCCGGCGACCGGCGCACGGGUGAGUAACACGUAUGCAACCUGCCCUCCGCAGGGGGAUAACCCGGAGAAAUCCGGACUAAUACCGCGUGGUACAUCUGUGGGGCAUCCCACGGGUGUUAAAAGGAAGCGAUUCCGGCGGAGGAUGGGCAUGCGGCGCAUUAGCUAGUUGGCGGGGUAACGGCCCACCAAGGCGACGAUGCGUAGGGGUUCUGAGAGGAAGGUCCCCCACACUGGUACUGAGACACGGACCAGACUCCUACGGGAGGCAGCAGUGAGGAAUAUUGGUCAAUGGGCGGGAGCCUGAACCAGCCAAGUCGCGUGAGGGAAGACGGUCCUAUGGAUUGUAAACCUCUUUAGGCGGGGAGCAAUGCCGGGCACGCGUGCCCGGAGGGAGAGUACCCGCAGAAUAAGCAUCGGCUAACUCCGUGCCAGCAGCCGCGGUAAUACGGAGGAUGCGAGCGUUAUCCGGAUUUAUUGGGUUUAAAGGGUGCGUAGGCGGAUUUUUAAGUCAGCGGUAAAAUGUCCGGGCUCAACCCGGGCCGGCCGUUGAAACUGGGGAUCUUGAGUGGGCGAGAAGUAUGCGGAAUGCGUGGUGUAGCGGUGAAAUGCAUAGAUAUCACGCAGAACUCCGAUUGCGAAGGCAGCAUACCGGCGCCCGACUGACGCUGAGGCACGAAAGCGUGGGGAUCGAACA